AAGUCAAAUGAAAAGGGCACAGGGCGGAUGCCUUGGCUCCAGGAAGCGAUGAAGGACGUGGCAAGCUGCGAUAAGCCUCGGGGAGAAGCAAACAUUCUUUGAUCCGGGGAUUUCCGAAUGGGGAAACCCGCCUGAGUCUCUCAGGCAUCGCUGGCUGAAUUCAUAGGUCAGCGAAGCGAACCCGGGGAACUGAAACAUCUAAGUACCCGGAGGAAAAAAAAUCAAACGAGAUUCCCUCAGUAGCGGCGAGCGAACGGGGAAGAGCCCAAACCAUCCGGUGCGCCGGGUGGGGUUGUAGGACCAUCACACGGGCAGGCAAAGGGUUAGCGGAAGCACUUGGGAAAGUGCGCCAGAGAGGGUUAGAGCCCCGUAGGCGAAAACCGUGAGCCGCCUGAUGGCACCUGAGUAGGACGGGACACGUGAAAUCCUGUUCGAAGCUGGGGGGACCACCCUCCAAGGCUAAAUAUUCCCUGGAGACCGAUAGCGAACCAGUACCGUGAGGGAAAGGUGAAAAGAACCCCGAUAAGGGGAGUGAAAUAGAUCCUGAAACCCUGUGUCUACAAGCAGUGGAAGCUCCUCAUGUGAGCGACCGCGUGCCUUUUGCAUAAUGAGCCAACGAGUUAAGGUCAGUGGCGAGGUUAAGUUAUUAACGGAGCCGAAGCGAAAGCGAGUCUGAAUAGGGCGUCGAGUCGCUGGCCUUAGACCCGAAACCGAGUGAUCUAGCCCCGUCCAGGUUGAAGCUUGGGUAAGACCAAGUGAAGGACCGAACCAGUAUACCUUAAAACGUAUUUGGAUGAGGUGGGGCUAGGAGUGAAAGGCUAAUCAAACUCGGAAAUAGCUGGUUCUCCCCGAAAUAUAUUUAGGUAUAGCCUCGAGACAGGCUGCCGGAGGUAGAGCACUGAUUGGACUAGGGGGCCCACCAGCCUACCAAACCCAGUCAAACUCCGAAUGCCGGCAAGUCAUUUCUCGGGAGUCAGACGGCGUGAGCUAACUUUCGUCGUCGAAAGGGAAACAACCCAGACCGCCAGCUAAGGCCCCCAAGUAUCAGUUAAGUGUGAAAGGAUGUGGGAGCGCCCAGACAACCAGGAAGUUAGCUUAGAAGCAGCUACCUUUUAAAGAAAGCGUAAUAGCUCACUGGUCAAGCGAACCUGCGCCGAAAAUAUAACGGGGCUCAAACUGAUCGCCGAAGCUGCGGAAUCAAUAUGAUUGGUAGGGGAGCUUUCCCUGGGCGGUGAAGCUGGAUCGUAAGGGCCAGUGGAGCGCAGGGAAGUGAGGAUGUUGGCAUGAGUAACGAAAAUGCGGGCGAGAAACCCGCACGCCGAAAGUCCAAGGGUUCCCGUGGCCAUGUUAAUCAGCCCGGGGUUAGUCGGCCCCUAAGGCGAGGCCGAAAGGCGUAGUCGAUGGGAAACAGGCUAAUAUUCCUGUACUGAAAGUUGCGCGCGAUGGAGGGACGCAGCAGGAUAGGUCAGCCGGGUGACGGAUGUCCCGGUUUAAGGUCGUAGUCGGUCUGCUUAGGUAAAUCCGGGCAGGCAACGACGAGAGCUGAUGACGAGAGGUUCGCCUCACAAAGUGAUUGAUUCCACACUGCCAAGAAAAGCUUCUAAGUAUAGUAACUUUCAACCGUACCCCAAACCGACACAGGUGGACUGGUAGAGAAUACCAAGGCGCUUGAGUGAUAUCACGUUAAGGAACUCUGCAAAAUAGCUCCGUAUCUUCGGUAGAAGGAGUGCCUCCAGUAUGUGAAUGGGCUCGCCCCAAGAGCAGACAGAGGCCGCAGUGAAAGGGCCCAGGCGACUGUUUAGCAAAAACAUAGCACUCUGCUAAAUCGCAAGAUGACGUAUAGGGUGUGACGCCUGCCCGGUGCCGGAAGGUUAAGAGGAGGAGUCAGCGCAAGCGAAGCUGCGAAUCGAAGCCCCGGUAAACGGCGGCCGUAACUAUAACGGUCCUAAGGUAGCGAAAUUCCUUGUCGGGUAAGUUCCGACCUGCACGAAUGGCGUAACGGGUGGUAGACUUUGAAGGACCAACGCUAGUUGGUCUGGAGUCGCCCUUGAAAUACCACCCUGGCUUGUCUGGGCUUCUAACCCGGAUCCAUUAGCUGGAUCGGGGACCCUGUCUGGUGGGUAGUUUGACUGGGGCGGUCGCCUCCUAAAGCGUAACGGAGGCGCGCAAAGGUUCCCUCAGAACGAUUGGAAACCGUUCGCAGAGCGUAAAGGCAUAAGGGAGCCUGACUGCAAGAGAGACAUCUCAAGCAGGGACGAAAGUCGGUCUUAGUGAUCCGGUGGUCCCGUGUGGAAGGGCCAUCGCUCAACGGAUAAAAGGUACUCCGGGGAUAACAGGCUAAUCGCGCCCAAGAGUUCAUAUCGACGGCGCGGUUUGGCACCUCGAUGUCGGCUCAUCGCAUCCUGGGGCUGAAGCAGGUCCCAAGGGUAUGGCUGUUCGCCAUUUAAAGCGGUACGCGCACCGCCGGGUAGCUACGUUCGGAAGAGAUAACCGCUGAAAGCAUCUAAGCGGGAAACUCGCCUCAAGAGAGAUCUCCCGGGCAUUUAUGCCCCUUAAGGUCACAGAAAGACGAUCUGUUUGAUAGGCUGGAAAUGGAAGCAUGGCAACAUGCGCAGUUGACCAGUACUAAGCGACCGUGCGAUUUGACU
RNAcentral lists this ribosomal RNA (2648 nucleotides) under Gammaproteobacteria bacterium. RNAcentral's name for it is "23S ribosomal RNA". It matches the Rfam family "Bacterial large subunit ribosomal RNA". Lineage: Bacteria; Pseudomonadati; Pseudomonadota; Gammaproteobacteria. The record is from RNAcentral.